GACGAACGCUGGCGGCGUGCCUAAUACAUGCAAGUAGAACGCUGAAGAGAGGAGCUUGCUCUUCUUUGGUGAGUUGCGCACGGGUGAGUAACGCGUAGGUAACCUGCCUUGUAGCGGGGGAUAACUAGUGGACACGAUAGCUAAUACCGCAUAACAAUGUAUGACACAUGUCAUUUAUUUGAAAGGGGCAAUUGCUCCACUACAAGAUGGACCUGCGUUGUAUUAGCUUGUAGGUGAGGUAAUGGCUCACCUAGGCGACGAUGCAUAGCCGCCCUGAGAGGGUGAGCGGCCAGACUGGGACGGUGACAGGGCACAGACUGAUACAGGAGGCAGCAAGAGGGAAUCGUCGGGCAUGGGUGCAAACCUGAGCGAGAAACGCCGAGUGAGGGAAGAAGGUUGUCGGAUCGGAAAGCUCGGUUGUAAGUCAAGAAAGGGUGUGAGCGUGGAAAGUUCACACUGUGACGGUAGCUUACCAGAAAGGGACGGCUAACUACGUG
RNAcentral lists this ribosomal RNA (497 nucleotides) under uncultured bacterium. Its description in RNAcentral is "partial 16S ribosomal RNA". It matches the Rfam family "Bacterial small subunit ribosomal RNA", at positions 28 to 507 of the family's 1533-position model. The record is from RNAcentral.